Molecule: ribosomal RNA, 446 nt
Filed under: Bulimina sp.
Lineage: Eukaryota; Foraminifera; Rotaliida; Buliminidae
Description: SSU rRNA
Rfam family: Eukaryotic small subunit ribosomal RNA
Source: RNAcentral
GAGCAUGUGGCUUAAUUUGACUCAACGCGGGAAAUCUUACCGGGUCCGGACACACUGAGGAUUGACAGGCAAUAUUAGCACUUAGCUUCGGCGACGUGUUAUGUUAAAUAUGCUAGUCCUUUCAUGAUUAUGUGAUAGGUGGUGCAUGGCCGUUCUUAGUUCGUGGAGUGAUCUGUCUGCUUAAUUGCGUUUCACCAAGGGCCUAUAAUUUUACGUGUGUUGCGGCACUUUGACCCCUCUUUUUUUAAAGAGCGCGUGUCUUGGUUUGCUUAGCUCGCACAAUUAGGUCCUGAAAGCAACGAACGUGACCGCAACCUCUUGUUGCCUUUAUACCAAACGUGCAUAUGCAAUUUUUUAAUUGCUUUGCGCGCAAAAAGGCUUAAACUAGAGGGACCGCUGUUACUUUCUUAAACCAGAGGAAGGUUGCGGCAAUAACAGGUCUGUGA